UUCUGCCUACGGGACGCAGCAGUCGGGAAUAUUGCGCAAUGGAGGAAACUCUGACGCAGUGACGCCGCGUAUAGGAAGAAGGGUUUCGGAUUGUAAACUAUUGUCGUGAGGGAAGAAAUUGACAGUACCUCAGGAGGAAGCUCCGGCUAACUAUGUGCCAGCAGCCGCGGUAAUACAUAGGGAGCAAGCGUUACCCGGAUUUAUUGGGUGUAAAGGGUGCGUAGACGGGAAAUUAAGUUAGUUGUGAAAUCCCUCGGCUUAACUGAGGAACUGCAACUAAAACUGAUUUUAUUGAGUACUGGAGG
RNAcentral lists this ribosomal RNA (305 nucleotides) under uncultured bacterium. RNAcentral's name for it is "bacterial SSU rRNA". It matches the Rfam family "Bacterial small subunit ribosomal RNA", at positions 333 to 655 of the family's 1533-position model. The record is from RNAcentral.